Molecule: long non-coding RNA, 1329 nt
Filed under: Pongo abelii (Sumatran orangutan)
Lineage: Eukaryota; Metazoa; Chordata; Mammalia; Primates; Hominidae
Description: lincRNA
Source: RNAcentral
UGGCCGAUGGAGACUAUUUAGCCGCGCCCGCGGCCCCUCCCACGUGACCCUCCCGCGCCGAGCAUCCUGGGACUUGUAGUUUUCCGAAGGCAGCAGAGCCCGGAAAGCCCCGAGGCCGGGGGCGGCCGAGGCCGCAAUUCCCGUCACGGAGUGCGCCCUCUAGCGCGGGGCGGAAGACCCGCGAAGUGUUCAAGCGGCCGCAGAGCGGCCCAGAGUUCGCAGGUCUGGGGCUCUCUUCCCAGAGAGCUCGUAGGGGAGGACAGUCAAGGGACUCAAGCGUCUCUCUUGACUCCCCUUCUCUCGCUGUGCAGUGGCGGUGCCGAGGGGCCGACGCUCAGGGCUAAUCUCUAUCAGUCACCCUCGAGGCCCCGGGUAAUAUUGGGUGGAUCACAAGAACUAAUCUUUCAUGAUUUGGAAACUGGAAGGAAAGAAGCACUUUUGUAGCUGACUCACCUCAAUGGCAUGACCAGUGUCUGAGCCUACAACUGCGCUACCUUCUCUGGAUUUUUCUUCACCUUUUCCUCAUUCACGAGCCAGAACUGCAUGUCCAAGGAGUUAUACAUUUGCUAGAAGGGGAUGACCAAUUCAGCUCUGAGUUUCCUGGGAGCCAAAGCCAAGAGCUCCAUGUCCACAAAAUCGAAGACCAAGUACUCAGAAGAACAGCUUUUCCUGAUACAAGUAGUUAAGAGAAGCUUUCUCCAGGAACCCUCAUAGAGACAACCUUGCAUGAUGCAGUGGACAGCACCCUUAGCAUGCUCCACAAGGGUCAUUCUGCAGUCUCUUUCAGCACUGGAUAACGGCACUCUGUCUCAAAGGUAGACUCUAAGACCCAUGUGGGCAGAGAGGAGAGUUCUCACCUGGAGUUCAGCAUGGUGGACUUGGGCCGCAGCCGUGGCCACCUGGUCCUCCAGAUCCGCCAGAUGGGUCUCAUCAGUGCCGCUGUGGAUGCAGCGGGCGGCAUCUUCUAGCUCAGUCAGCUGGGUCUCCAGUCCAUACACAGUGCCUGCUGCCAGACAAAGCAAGAUGAAAAAGCUCCAAGCCCUCAGCAAGGCCAGAAUGUUCAUGUUUUACUCUGUGUUCACUAAAAGCCUACUUUCCUGGCACCAGGAGGCAGAAGAGAUUUAGUGGUUUGGCACUGAUACCAGCUGAACAGGAAUUUACAGCCAAAGUGAUGGUGCCUAAAGGACUGGAGGAGGAGGAGGAGGAGGAUGAUGAUGAUGAUGGUGGGGAUGAUGAUGAUGAUGAUGAUGAUGAUGAUGAUGACAGCAUUAAUUUAUUGAGCCAGUGGCUAAGCCAAGGGUUUUAUGUGACUUAUAUAUGCUCAUAGCA